This is a non-coding RNA of Pelobates cultripes (western spadefoot toad), 209 nucleotides long. The record is from the annotation of a GenBank genome assembly. Lineage: Eukaryota; Metazoa; Chordata; Amphibia; Anura; Pelobatidae.
GGUUGGUAGGGGCAAAUAAAGACUAUUUAGGAUCAGCAGAAAUUAUUUCUACUCCACGCACAAUGCAAAUGCUAGAUCAAAGAGAGUUAUAAAAAGCAUUAGCACCAGCUCGAACACAACAACGUUUAACCCUGUGAUGUCCUCUGUGAAUAACGGUUUCAUUAAAAUGACACAAGAUAUAUCAAAAGUCACUCAAGGUAGCAGGGCCG